RNAcentral lists this ribosomal RNA (497 nucleotides) under bacterium enrichment culture clone ALO1_GLFRUDD03FLYSP. RNAcentral's name for it is "bacterial SSU rRNA". It matches the Rfam family "Bacterial small subunit ribosomal RNA", at positions 9 to 501 of the family's 1533-position model. The record is from RNAcentral.
GAGUUUGAUCGUGGCUCAGAUUGAACGCUGGCGGCAGGCCUAACACAUGCAAGUCGAGCGGAUGACGGGAGCUUGCUCCUUGAUUCAGCGGCGGACGGGUGAGUAAUGCCUAGGAAUCUGCCUGGUAGUGGGAGACAACGUUUCGAAAGGAACGCUAAUACCGCAUACGUCCUACGAGAGAAAGCAGGGGACCUUCGGGCCUUGCGCUAUCAGAUGAGCCUAGGUCGGAUUAGCUAGUUGGUGGGGUAAUGGCUCACCAAGGCGACGAUCCGUAACUGGUCUGAGAGGAUGAUCAGUCACACUGGAACUGAGACACGGUCCAGACUCCUACGGGAGGCAGCAGUGGGGAAUAUUGGACAAUGGGCGAAAGCCUGAUCCAGCCAUGCCGCGUGUGUGAAGAAGGUCUUCGGAUUGUAAAGCACUUUAAGUUGGGAGGAAGGGCAGUAAGUUAAUACCUUGCUGUUUUGACGUUACCGACAGAAUAAGCACCGGCUAAC